ACAUGCAAGUCGGACGGGAUUGAGAUUAAAGCUUGCUUUGAUUUCAUGAGAGUGGCGCACGGGUGCGUAACGCGUGAGCAACCUACCCAUAUCAGGGGGAUAGCCUCUCGAAAGAGAGAUUAACACCGCAUAACAUCAUUAACCGGCAUCGGAUUAUGAUCAAAUAUUUAUAGGAUAUGGAUGGGCUCGCGUGACAUUAGCUAGUUGGAGGGGUAACGGCCCACCAAGGCUACGAUGUCUAGGGGCUCUGAGAGGAGAAUCCCCCACACUGGUACUGAGACACGGACCAGACUCCUACGGGAGGCAGCAGUAAGGAAUAUUGGUCAAUGGAGGGAACUCUGAACCAGCCAUGCCGCGUGCAGGAUGACUGCCCUAUGGGUUGUAAACUGCUUUUGUCAGGGAAUAAACCUUUCCACGUGUGGGAAGCUGAAUGUACCUGAAGAAUAAGGAUCGGCUAACUCCGUGCCAGCAGCCGCGGUAAUACGGAGGAUCCAAGCGUUAUCCGGAUUUAUUGGGUUUAAAGGGUGCGUAGGCGGUCCUAUAAGUCAGUGGUGAAAGACGGCAGCUUAACUGUCGCAGUGCCUUUGAUACUGUAGGACUUGAAUCUAUUUGAAGUGGGCGGAAUAAGACAAGUAGCGGUGAAAUGCAUAGAUAUGUCUUAGAACUCCGAUUGCGAAGGCAGCUCACUAAGUUAGUAUUGACGCUGAUGCACGAAAGCGUGGGGAUCAAACAGGAUUAGAUACCCUGGUAGUCCACGCCCUAAACGAUGAUAACUCGAUGUUUGCGAUACACAGUAAGCGUCCAAGCGAAAGCGUUAAGUUAUCCACCUGGGGAGUACGGUCGCAAGAUUGAAACUCAAAGGAAUUGACGGGGGCCCGCACAAGCGGAGGAGCAUGUGGUUUAAUUCGAUGAUACGCGAGGAACCUUACCCGGGCUUGAAAGUUAGUGAAUGAUCCAGAGACGGAUCAGUCCUUCGGGACACGAAACUAGGUGCUGCAUGGCUGUCGUCAGCUCGUGCCGUGAGGUGUUGGGUUAAGUCCCGCAACGAGCGCAACCCCUAUGUUUAGUUGCCAGCACAU
RNAcentral lists this ribosomal RNA (1079 nucleotides) under Sphingobacterium sp. 355B3_12EVRE. RNAcentral's name for it is "bacterial SSU rRNA". It matches the Rfam family "Bacterial small subunit ribosomal RNA", at positions 53 to 1126 of the family's 1533-position model. Lineage: Bacteria; Pseudomonadati; Bacteroidota; Sphingobacteriia; Sphingobacteriales; Sphingobacteriaceae. The record is from RNAcentral.